This 301-nucleotide ribosomal RNA is filed under the name uncultured bacterium. RNAcentral's name for it is "partial 16S ribosomal RNA". It matches the Rfam family "Bacterial small subunit ribosomal RNA", at positions 509 to 809 of the family's 1533-position model. The record is from RNAcentral.
CAGCAGCCGCGGGAAUACGUAGGGUGCAAGCGUUAAUCGGAAUUACUGGGCGUAAAGCGUGCGCAGGCGGUUAUAUAAGACAGAUGUGAAAUCCCCGGGCUCAACCUGGGAACUGCAUUUGUGACUGUAUAGCUAGAGUACGGCAGAGGGGGAUGGAAUUCCGCGUGUAGCAGUGAAAUGCGUAGAUAUGCGGAGGAACACCGAUGGCGAAGGCAAUCCCCUGGGCCUGUACUGACGCUCAUGCACGAAAGCGUGGGGAGCAAACAGGAUUAGAUACCCCCGUAGUCCCUGUCUCUUAUAU